UGAUCUGGAGUCUCUCGGGACCCGGAAUCACCGGUAAACGCUUAACUAUAAACCGCCUGGAUCUUUUUGACCGGGACGGAAGG
Molecule: regulatory RNA element, 83 nt
Organism: Desulfomonile tiedjei DSM 6799
Lineage: Bacteria; Pseudomonadati; Thermodesulfobacteriota; Desulfomonilia; Desulfomonilales; Desulfomonilaceae
Rfam family: pan motif
Source: Rfam